Non-coding RNA from Pelobates cultripes (western spadefoot toad), 270 nucleotides. NCBI's taxonomy places the organism in Eukaryota, Metazoa, Chordata, Amphibia, Anura, Pelobatidae. The record is from the annotation of a GenBank genome assembly.
CCUCAGUGCCUCUCUCCACAACACCAUUACACUCUGAAAGUGCAGAAAAUUAAUUAUGAAGAGCAACAGACUGUGCAAAAUGCCUUUUAUCCACAACUCUAAGUCUACCAGAUCCUACAGUAAUCCAUCUGCCUUUCCUAGCAUGUCUCUGCGGCAGUGGCUUUGCAGCAGUUCCAGUCUGAGUUUCUUCACCAGAUAAUUUACAAAUCUCAGACUUCAAAAAUACAAUCUCCUGCCGCAAGAUAGAGAACUGUGUACAGAUUAGACAAC